RNAcentral lists this unclassified non-coding RNA (346 nucleotides) under uncultured bacterium. RNAcentral's name for it is "contains 16S-23S intergenic spacer region". The record is from RNAcentral.
UCCGGUUUGUCACCGGCAGUCUCGCAUGAGUCCCCAACUGAAUGCUGGCAACAUGCGACGGGGGUUGCGCUCGUUGCGCCACUUAAGGCAGCACCUGUGUACGCUGGUAUUGCUACCUCGUCAGGCUUUCACCCUUCUACUACGUACAUGCCAAGGCCAGGUAAGGUUCUUCGCGUUGCAUCGAAUUGAGCCACAUACUCCACCGCUUGUGCAGGCCCCCGUCAAUUCCUUUGAGUUUUAACCUUGCGGCCGUAGUCCCCAGGCGGCGGACUUAGUGCGUUAGCUGCGGCGCCGAGGGGGUCGAUACCCCCGACACCUAGUCCGCAUCGUUUACGGCGUGGACUAC